GAGUUAGCUCUCUUAGCCAUGAUAGAGGGCGGCGUACGGCUCAGUAACAUGUGGUCAAUCUACCCUCAGGACGGAGAUAACCUCGGGAAACUGAGGCUAAUAUCCGAUAGAUAAUGGAUCCUGGAAUGGUUCAUUAUUCAAACGGCACAUUGCUCAUGCGCAGUGUGUUGCCUGAGGAUGAGACUGCACCCUAUCAGGUAGUUGGUGGGGUAACGGCCCACCAAGCCUAUAACGGGUACGGGCCCUGAGAGGGGGAGCCCGGAGAUGGGCACUGAGACAAGGGCCCAGGCCCUACGGGGCGCAGCAGGCGCGAAACCUCUGCAAUGCGCGAAAGCGCGACAGGGCCACCCCGAGUGCUAGCCGCUGAGGUUAGCUUUUCCUUAGUGUAGUAAGCUAAGGGAAUAAGCGGGGGGCAAGCCUGGUGUCAGCCGCCGCGGUAAUACCAGCUCCGCGAGUGGUCGGGAUGAUUAUUGGGCCUAAAGCGUCCGUAGCCGGCCUAUCAAGUCUCUGGUUAAACCUCAAGGCUCAACCUUGAGAUUGCUGGAGAUACUGUUAGGCUAGGGGGCGGGAGAGGUUGAGGGUACUACGCGGGUAGGGGCGAAAUCCUAUAAUCCGUGUAGGACCACCAGUGGCGAAGGCGCUCAACUGGAACGCGCCCGACGGUGAGGGACGAAAGCCAGGGGAGCAAAGGGGAUUAGAUACCCCCGUAGUCCUGGCUGUAAACGAUGCGGGCUAGGUGUUGGGUUGGCUUCGUGCCAACCCGGUGCCGCAGUGAAGACGAUAAGCCCGCCGCCUGGGAAGUACGGCUGCAAGGCUGAAACUUAAAGGAAUGGCGGG
RNAcentral lists this ribosomal RNA (837 nucleotides) under uncultured crenarchaeote. RNAcentral describes it as "bacterial SSU rRNA". It matches the Rfam family "Archaeal small subunit ribosomal RNA", at positions 42 to 872 of the family's 1478-position model. The record is from RNAcentral. Lineage: Archaea; Thermoproteati; Thermoproteota.